GACGAACGCUGGCGGCGUGCUUAACACAUGCAAGUCGAGGGCAUUUGGGUCGCAAGGCUCAGGUGACCGGCGAACGGGUGCGUAACACGUGAGCGACCUGCCGUCCCUGUGGGGGAUAGCCGGCCCAACGGCCGGGCAAUACCGCAUACGAUCGUUUGGGGGCAUCCCUGGGCGACGAAAGCUUGGCGCAAGUCAGGCGCAGGACGAGGGGCUCGCGGCCUAUCAGCUCGUGGCGGGGUAACGGCCCACCAAGGCGACGACGGGUAGCUGGUCUGAGAGGAUGGCCAGCCACAUUGGGACUGAGAGACGGCCCAGACUCCUACGGGAGGCAGCAGUGGGGAAUCUUGCGCAAUGACCGCAAGGCUGACGCAGCGACGCCGCGUGUGGGAGGACGCCCUCGGGU
RNAcentral lists this ribosomal RNA (403 nucleotides) under uncultured bacterium. RNAcentral's name for it is "bacterial SSU rRNA". It matches the Rfam family "Bacterial small subunit ribosomal RNA", at positions 28 to 423 of the family's 1533-position model. The record is from RNAcentral.